Molecule: ribosomal RNA, 701 nt
Filed under: uncultured crenarchaeote
Lineage: Archaea; Thermoproteati; Thermoproteota
Description: bacterial SSU rRNA
Rfam family: Archaeal small subunit ribosomal RNA
Source: RNAcentral
CCUUGUGCCAGCAGCCGCGGUAAAACCAGCUCUUCAAGUGGUCGGGAUAAUUAUUGGGCUUAAAGUGUCCGUAGCCGGUUUAGUAAGUUCCUGGUAAAACCGGGCAGCUUAACUGUCCGUAUGCUAGGAAUACUGCUAUGCUAGAGGGCGGGAGAGGUCUGAGGUACUACAGGGGUAGGGGUGAAAUCUUAUAAUCCUUGUAGGACCACCAGUGGCGAAAGCGUCAGACUGGAACGCGCCUGACGGUGAGGGACGAAAGCCAGGGGAGCGAACCGGAUUAGAUACCCGGGUAGUCCUGGCCGUAAACGAUGCAUACUAGGCAAUGGUGCGGCUAUGAGCCGCAUCAGUACCGUAGGGAAACCGUUAAGUGUGCCGCCUGGGAAGUACGGUCGCAAGGCUAAAACUUAAAGGAAUUGGCGGGGGAGCACCACAAGGGGUGAAGCCUGCGGUUCAAUUGGACUCAACGCCGGGAAACUUACCAGGGGAGACAGCAGAAUGACAGUCAGGUUGACGACCUUACUCGACGAGCUGAGAGGAGGUGCAUGGCCGUCGCCAGUUCGUGCUGUGAGGUAUCCUGUUAAGUCAGGCAACGAACGAGAUCCGCGCCUUUAUUUGCCAUCAAGAAGUCACGACUUCGUUGGGAACACUAAAGGGACCGCCGUCGAUAAGACGGAGGAAGGAGCGGGCAAAGGCAGGUCUGU